UUAAGCUAAUAAGAGCGCAGGGAGGAUGCCUUGGCAUCAGGAGCCGAUGAAGGACGCGGUAAGCUGCGAAAAGCUCCGGGGAGUGGCAAGCACACAUUGAUCCGGAGAUGUCCGAAUGGAGCAAUCCACAUGAGUGAAGCUCAUGUAUCAUAUACUGAAUAAAUAGGUAUAUGAGGGGAACCGUCUGAACUGAAACAUCUAAGUAGGACGAGGAAAAGAAAUCAACCGAGAUUCCGCUAGUAGUGGCGAGCGAACGCGGAAGAGGCUAAACCAGAGUCAGCAAUGACUUUGGGGUUUGGACUGCAUUUAGUAUCAAUGAGGUCUAGUCGAAGUACAUGGGAAGGUACAUCGAAGAGGGUGAGAAUCCCGUAGACGAAAGAUCAAGUUGGCGAGCAGUAUCCAGAGUACCGCCGGACACGUGAAACCCGGUGGGAAUGCGGGGGGACCAUCCUCCAAGCCUAAAUACUACCUGAUGACCGAUAGCGCAUAGUACUGUGAAGGAAAGGUGAAAAGAACCCCGGGAGGGGAGUGAAAGAGAGCCUGAAACCCUGUGCUUACAAGCACACAGAGCACGUCAAAGUGUGAUGUGGUACCUAUUGUAGAAUGGUCCGGCGAGUUAUUUUAUGCAGCGAGGUUAAGGACUUAAGGUCUGUAGCCGAAGUGAAAGCGAGUGUUAAUAGCACGAAACAGUUGCAUGCAAUAGACCCGAAACCGGGUGACCUAUCCAUGUCCAGGCUGAAGUGAGGGUAAAACCUCAUGGAGGGCCGAACCGACUCCCGUUGAAAUGGUAGCGGAUGAGGUGUGGAUAGCGGAGAAAUUCCAAUCGAACCCGGAUAUAGCUGGUUCUCCCCGAAACCGUUUUAGGACGGGCCUCGUGUGAAGAUUAUCGGAGGUAAAGCACUGAAUAGCCUAGGGGGCGAGAGCCUACCGAAGCUUAUCAAACUCUGAAUGCCGAAUAAUCGUUUCACGGGAGUCAGACUGUGUGAGAUAAGUUUCAUAGUCAAAAGGGAAACAGCCCAGACCCACAGCUAAGGUCCCAAAGUGUAUUUAAGUGGAAAACGAUGUGAAGUUGCGUAGACAACCAGGAUGUUGGCUUAGAAGCAGCCACUCAUUAAAAGAGUGCGUAAUAGCUCACUGGUCGAGUGACUUUGCGCGGAAAAUUUAACGGGGCUAAAAUACACACCGAAGCUUGGGCUUGACGCAUUGCGUCAGGGGUAGGGGAGCGUCGUGUAAGGGGCGAAGUCGUAUCGUAAGGGACGGUGGACUUUACACGAGUGAGAAUGCCGGAAUGAGUAGCGAGAAUUAUGUGAGAAUCAUAAUGGUCGAAAGCCUAAGGUUUUUGGAGGAAGGUUCGUCCGCUCCAAGUAAGCCGGGAGCUAAGGUCAGGCGGAAACGCGUAGCCGAUGCACAUACGGUUGAAAUUCCGUAGCCUCAGAAAGAUUUAAGCAGAGGGACACUUUGAAAGGACUGUAGCCGGGUGUUGGUUACCCCGGUCGUAAGGGAACGAAAUUAAGUAGUGAAGGCAGUCUGGACGGAGGCGAGAAAAGCUCUGUGUAUAUCUGAUGAGCCCGUACCGCAAACCGACACAGGUAGGUGGGAUGAGAAUUCUAAGACCAACGGGAGAAGGGUAGUUAAGGAACUCGGCAAAUUGUCCCCGUAACUUCGGAAUAAGGGGAGCCUGCGAAAGCAGGCCGCAGAGAAUUGGCCCAGGCGACUGUUUAUCAAAAACACAGCUCUAUGCUAAAUCGAAAGAUGACGUAUAUGGGGUGACACCUGCCCGGUGCUGGAAGGUUAAGAGGAGAUGUGAGAGCAUCGAAUUGAAGCCCCAGUAAACGGCGGCCGUAACUAUAACGGUCCUAAGGUAGCGAAAUUCCUUGUCAGGUAAGUUCUGACCCGCACGAAUGGUGUAACGA
This 1913-nucleotide ribosomal RNA is filed under the name human gut metagenome. RNAcentral describes it as "bacterial LSU rRNA". It matches the Rfam family "Bacterial large subunit ribosomal RNA", at positions 3 to 2007 of the family's 2925-position model. The record is from RNAcentral.